UUUCGCCAUCCUACCCUGUAUGCAUCUGAUUUCAUUUGCUUUUGGGAAUUAAGCAAGAUGGGGCCUGAUUAGUAUGUGGGGGAUAAAGCCUUUUUAAAAUGCAGGUUAUAGCAGAAU
Molecule: ribosomal RNA, 117 nt
Filed under: Mesocricetus auratus (golden hamster)
Lineage: Eukaryota; Metazoa; Chordata; Mammalia; Rodentia; Cricetidae
Source: RNAcentral